Molecule: unclassified non-coding RNA, 310 nt
Filed under: Paraburkholderia piptadeniae
Lineage: Bacteria; Pseudomonadati; Pseudomonadota; Betaproteobacteria; Burkholderiales; Burkholderiaceae
Description: RNaseP_bact_a
Rfam family: Bacterial RNase P class A
About the family: Ribonuclease P (RNase P) is a ubiquitous endoribonuclease, found in archaea, bacteria and eukarya as well as chloroplasts and mitochondria. Its best characterised activity is the generation of mature 5'-ends of tRNAs by cleaving the 5'-leader elements of precursor-tRNAs.
Source: RNAcentral
AGCCAUCCGUGGCGACACGCGGAACAGGGCAACAGAAAGCAAACCGCCGAUGGCCCGGCGCAAGCCGGGAUCAGGCAAGGGUGAAACGGUGCGGUAAGAGCGCACCGCGGCUGCGGCGACGCAGACCGGCACGGUAACCUCCACCCGGAGCAAUUCCAAGUAGGCAGGCGCGCAUCUUCGCGAUGCAGGACGGGGCCCCCGUCUCGUCUGCGGGUAGGAAGCUUGAGCGCGUCAGCAAUGGCGCGCCUAGAGGAAUGGCUGCCACGCGUGAGGCAUCUUCGGGCGCAUCGCGUGCACAGAAUCCGGCUUA